GACGAACGCUGGCGGCGUGCCUAAUACAUGCAAGUCGAACGAGAGCGAUCGGUGCUUGCACUGGUCAAUCUAGUGGCGAACGGGUGAGUAACACGUGGGUAACCUGCCCAUCAGAGGGGGAUAACAUUCGGAAACGAAUGCUAAAACCGCAUAGGUCUUCGAACCGCAUGGUUUGAAGAGGAAAAGAGGCGCAAGCUUCUACUGAUGGAUGGACCCGCGGUGCAUUAGCUAGUUGGUGAGGUAACGGCUCACCAAGGCCGUGAUGCAUAGCCGACCUGAGAGGGUGAUCGGCCACAUUGGGACUGAGACACGGCCCAAACUCCUACGGGAGGCAGCAGUAGGGAAUCUUCCGCAAUGGACGCAAGUCUGACGGAGCAACGCCGCGUGAGUGAAGAAGGUUUUCGGAUCGUAAAAACUCUGUUGUUAGAGAAAGAAACAAGUGCUAGAGUAAACUGUAAG
RNAcentral lists this ribosomal RNA (459 nucleotides) under Granulicatella adiacens. RNAcentral describes it as "bacterial SSU rRNA". It matches the Rfam family "Bacterial small subunit ribosomal RNA", at positions 28 to 472 of the family's 1533-position model. Lineage: Bacteria; Bacillati; Bacillota; Bacilli; Lactobacillales; Carnobacteriaceae. The record is from RNAcentral.